UAUGGAUGGUAAGGAUUAAGGGGCCAGAUCACCUUUCUCCUUCUUGUGGAGUAUCACAAGAUGGAGCUGAGACUGGUACUGGAUGAUACUCUUUGAGAUCAAUUAAUAACAGCUCCCUUUGAAGGCAGCAGCAAAUUAACUAUUGUUCCCACAGUAAUCUCAAACAAAUUGCAUCUCUAGUCGGUGUUUAGGGAUAUGCUUCAUAUAAUUGACAUGCAAGCCAAACAGUAGCAGCAAUAGGAAUCAAACCAAAUGUGAUUUGUGAUUAUAAAUUAUAAUGCCAGCAUUAUUUGACAUUUAAGCACAGUCAUGCCAUACUGUACUGGAAUAUGCCCAUGGUGCCUGACCUCAAAAACUGCCUUGAGAUGACUCGCUGAUCCUGGAAGUCAAAAGCACUUCCUGUGACCAGGAUCAUUAUAUUUUUUUGUUUCAAAAUUCAUAUUUGUGAAUUUAAAAAUAAUUUUUUUCGGUGUAAGUAAAGAAAUAUCCAUUGUUAUGAAGUCAAGAAAUAAUUAUCCGCAGAAAUUGCUUCACAUAAUAAAGUUUAUCAUUCUGAGAGCAAAAACUUGAUGAGUGUUUUUCAUGAUGAUCGAGAAAACAGAAGCAGGUAUUCUUGCAAUUAUAUGAUGAUCCUUAUCAUUGGUUGUCAGAUUAGCAGAAAUCUAGAUCUUCUGUUUGCAGAAGUAAAUGGGCUAUAGUUCUUGAGUAGGUAAUUUACCUUGGAUGCGUCUUUCCCUUCUCUCUUUGAAUUAAUGCUAAGAAGGCAUAUGUUGCACACUAGUUUUUUCCUCUUUGGAUUACUAUUCUAUACUCAUUACAUCAAAGCCCAAACAUGGUGUUCAAAGUUUAACUUCCUAUUUAGCAAGAUACAAAAAAUAUAAGCACCCAUAAUCAUCAUUUUUGAAGCCAUGCCACCACUUCCUGAGGUUAGAAAAUUUUGUGUAUAUAUGUAGUUUUUGUGAAGUUUAGAAGUCAUUUCCCAAAGUAUGAAUUAGGAUUUCUCAUAAGCACUCCAUUAUAUAUAUGUAUGCAUAUGUGAAUGUAUAUAUGUGUAUGUCUGUAUUUAUAUAUGUAUUCUUGCAUGGGGUGCGCAUGGGUGUGACAUAGACAAACAGUAUACUUUUUUAUUUUGAAACAUUAAUGGAAUUAUUGACCAUUGUUUCAUAUCAUAGUCAUUUUAUUACUUAAAUUCGAAAACAUAAUCACAUUAAACAGUUUUAAGUCUUAAUAGGAAACUCUCACAAGACCUCCAAUUAUUUACACCAAGUACGAAUACACGAUUCCUGUCUUCAGCAUAGACUUGAUGUCACUGGAACUGAUGUGACCGUUGGACUGUAGAAAAAUCAAGCCACGAUACAGCAAUAGCGGAGAACUUUCUUUCUUUUCUGCGUAGGCUGCAGAUAAAUGCAAAACGCUAUUAAAUAAGGAAUUUGUUCGAAUAUUAUAAAACAAAAAACUUCAAACCUGUUAUUUGGAAACCACUAGCAAACACUUUCAAUUUCAUCCUUUCUAAAGAUCAUGUGUACAUAAGAUUAAAAAUGUAACUCGACUAGUUAUAUACAUCUAUAUCCAUGCAUCUUCUAGCAUGGACAACAAUGCUUCCAUGACCUUGUUCUAAUUUUAACCUUUUGUUAGGUCAUCGUUCUUUAUAUAAGCAUUUGAUAGACCCUAAUUUGAAAAUAAAGGUAAACUGCCAAAAUAUUCAUGCAAACAAACUAAAACAGGCAUUUAAACUCAAAGGAUCAUUUUAACUUAAAGUGAUCUCUAUAUUACUUUAUCAUUUAUUUCUAUUUUGCUUGUUCAGCACAUUGGACGGUUAAGUCGCUUAGGUUUCUUAUCCUUCUUGGGUAUUAAAUGUUUAGUAGAAUUUUUCUUGCUUCAGCCUUGUUUUAUAUAAUUGAGUCUAGUUGUCUUCCAUCUUUAAAGCGAUCUAUCCAAGACUAUCCUCUUUCUAGCAAGCUAAAAAUGGGCAGAAGAUCUUAGCAUUAGAUUCAUCAAAGAUGCUACUCUGAUCAGUGGAUAUCUAUGGCAAGCUUUGGAAAGAAAUAAUGGUUAAGAUGAGGCAUGUCUCAUUGUAACUAAAUCUUUAUCAUGUAGUUCUUAGCCUGUAAUCCUCGUAGUGUGAACUAUACAACAAACUCUUAUUUGAAGCUAUGCCAGACAUCCACAUUAUCUAAACUCUGUUCAUGAUAUCAGAGCCAUGUGGCGGCAUUGUCAAGCCGAGAUACUUCUUAAACGUUCUCUUUCAGUUUUAAUAAUCUUAUAAUUUAUAAAAUAAUUCCAUAUUACUAUUCAUAUUCCUUUUUCUUUUAUUCUGAGCAUUCUUGACAUUUCUCAACAUCAUGAUAAGAUAGCCUACAUUCCAAUCAAACCCCUUCAUUGGGUUUUUUUCCCCAUGUAAAUUCACAUCCCUAGAAAAGUUAUAAUCAAUGAGAUGUAAUCUCAUCAACUCUUCAUCUGAAGUAUAUUAUAGUUUUGUUAUUGUUGGGAGAAAUAUUGGAUCCCUCGACCUUCGGCUAGACCUACCCCUUUUAUCUCGGACAUAAGCCGAAAAGAACAACCUCAGCCCCAAUCAAGCAGCCGACAAACCGAAGUGAGUUACAUCGGCCCCGGCCGAGAAACCGAUCAGCCAAGGAGCCAUCAGUCAAAGAGAACAAUCAGCACGUGUCAACAAGGACUGACAGUCUUAACAAUCGACAGCUCUAGAAGCCCGUAAUCAUGACAGCGCCACGGCUUGUGCCCCAUCAACGCUACCCACCACCCACGUGGAUUGGGACCCACACCUCGGCUAUACUAUUGGCCGUUACUUGGCUAUCAUUGUAUAUCAUGCAGGCUAGGUAACGACAAAAUGGGAUCCCUAUAUAAAGGGGUAGCCUGGGGACUUCAAGGACUCAUGCAAUACUACUCACAAAAACCACACUCUAUGGAAAUUUCUUUCUUUCAUAUUGUUGCCUUCCUAUUCUAACUUAGGCAUCGGAGGCUCCCCUACCGGAAACUUUUUAGCAAGUGGACUUUUUGCCGGCCACGUCCAGAGGAGAUCCAUCCCCUGCAUCUCAACCAACCUGCUCAGCUCAUCUCUAGCCUACCUUAGUAUCGUCCGAGCUUCGCGCUAACCUCAGCCCGGAUUCGGCGAUAACAGAUUGGCGCUAAAGAAAGAGCUACCAGCCUCCAGUAAUAUUAACAUCCAUCGAAGGAAAAGACAACUAGCAUGAACUCACGAGGAACUCGCAGCGCCGCGUGCUUCGCAGCACCGUGCUUCAACCUUUUGAGGGUUGUUGCAAACUCUGGAACCUGCUCCACUAGAAACAUCCAUCGUGCCUGUGGAUAAUGAGCAGUUCAACCUGCUCACUCAAUAGGUGCAAGCGAUGACCGCGGCGGCUAAGGCCUGCAGCAACAGUGGCCCGACCAAAGCCGGUCCGACCAAAAUCUAGCCAGCCCAACCACCACUCUUAGGCGCCAGCGCAUGGCAAGUGUCUGGUUAGCCACCACUCUCGAGGCCAGGUCUUAGAGCAGUCCCCUAGAGUCGAUGUAGCUAGCAGAACAGUCCUGGUCGGGAGGGAAAAUGUUGUGCUCCCAGUCCCCUUUUUGGCAAGGACUCCACUCCAACCCUGUCACCUCCUCACCGCAUGGAGCCCCAUCCUGACAGGAUGCCGGCCUUGAUUGAAGAAUUAAAGAAAUGGGCCUAAUAAAUUCAGGCCCUUAGGGGAUAGGCUCCGAGGGUGAACAACAACCUCAAUUUUUUCUUGGAGCCCUCAUUCAUCCAGCGAAUCAUGGAGAAACCAAUUCCACCUCGGUUUAAGAUGCUCCAGGUAGAGCCGAUGGCACCUCAGAUCUCCUGGAUAACCUUAAGAACAUCAGGGAUCUCAUGAUGAUUUAUGGAGCCACCAAUGCCGUACUUUGCAUGGCAUUCCCUGCAACCCUUUGCAAGGUGGCUCGGUUCUGGUUCUAUAGGUUUUUGCCUGAUUUCGUUCACUCCUUCGAGAAGCUCAUCCACUUCUUUGCAACCUACUUUGUCUCUAGCCAAAGACAGCAUCACAGCUUAGAUGUGCUACUCAACAUCAAGUAGAAGGAGAAAAAGUCCCUCAGAGACUAUAUUAGCCGCUUUAAUGCACAAUGCUAGAAGUUCGCAACCUAGAUCAGUCGGUCGUGAUGUCAGUAAUGAAGAGCAACUUGCAGCUGUCGAGCUUUUUCUUCUUCCUAGAAAGGUGCUUCCCUGUCGACUUUGCUAAAAUGCUAGCGCGGGCCAACAAGUAUACCAAUGUGGAGAAAGCCAUGUCCUCCCAUCAUGAGUGUACUGACCGAAGACCUCAUUGAGGAGGAAAGGGGAGAUACGAGGAGCAAAGAAAGUUGCAGAGUGUCUCACCUUGGCAUGAGAGGGGCUUAUGACUGUCCAUGAGCUCUCCUCUGAAGUUUGAGAAGCACACCCCUCUCACUACCGCGAGGACCUAGAUCCUCAUGGAAAUCAAAGUCUGAGGCUAUCUGUGCCCUCUGAUUCCAAUUAAUGAAGGAUCGACGAUCAAUAGAGGACAGAAAAAGUACUGUCGCAUCCACCAAGAUUGCGACCACGACACCGAGGGGAGAGUUUAGCUGAAGGACGAAAUCGAAGCACUGAUUCAGCGGGGCAGCUGGACCAAUAUGCACACCCUCAGUGGGAUCGAGAAGUGCUCAUCUUAGCCUCUAAGGAACUGCUUUUAGAACAAAUUAAUAAUCGCCCAACAGUAGACGUCAUCAAUACCAUCGCUGGUAGACUUAUCAAGACCCCCAAGUGCCCCGGGUAGUCAAGCUCUUCAAAAAGAAGACUGUGAGGUGGCCGUAGAUUCUGCACAUGGAUGGUCAUUAGGCCCGAGAGGUAGCAGCUGGUACCAUACUCAUCAACCCUGAUGGAGUAACCACAAAGUACACUCUCCGGUUCAAAUUAUCCACCUCAAACAACGAAACUAAGGAUGAGGCGCUAGUCACCGGACUCAAGUCUUCAAAGGAGCUUGGGAUCCAACAACUGAAGGACUUCAGCAUGCAGAUUGGGGUACCUUAACGGUGCCUCUAUCCCACAUGCUUGGAACUCUGGCAACCCUCACGCCCAUUAUCAGUGAGGUUCAUUGUAGCCUGAAUAAAAAAAUCUUUUUGUUGUAUUUCUGUCUUUCAAAUUGGAUGACUGCGACAAACAUAUUUGACUUGGGUCACUCCGAGGAUUCUUGGGCCUCCUCAAGACUAAGCUUACUCAUAAUUUCUUUGGGACUAUAGUUUAGAGAUGAGGAGAUCCGCCCCCGCACCGAAGGCUUGGCAUGCCACUCGACCUCUUCAGAUCAUAAAAUAGCUCAAGCAAAAGACCGGCCCCCACGCCGAAGGCUUGAGAUGCCCCUCGACCUCUUUAGGUCGUAAAUGGUCCAAGCAGAAGACCAGACCCUGCACCAAAGGUUUGACGUGCCAUUCGACCUCUUCAAGUCGUAAUUGGUCUAAGUAGAAGGCCAUCCCCUGCACUGAUAGCUUGGCAUACCACUCGACCUCUUUAGAUCGUAAUGACCCAAGCAGAAGACCGGCCCCCACAUCAAAGGCUUGGUAUACCACUCAACCUUCAGGUCAUCAAUGGCCCAUACAAGAGAUUGGCCUCCACCGAAGGUUUGGUGUAUCAACCGACCUUCCUAAGUCGAAAACAUCCCGAGCAGAAGACUGAGCUCAUCCAAAAUUUCUCUCGGAUCUCAAUCCAGGGAUGCCUCUAGGACCAUAAUCCAUAGAUGAAAACAGACAUCUCGGGCCGACCUAGGACCUUCUUCAGCCUACCUUGCUCAGAAUUUCUUGGGAGCUGAACCCAGAAAGAUUGACUAAGGAGCCAAGAUGGGCUGAAAGCCCCCAAGGGGAAGAGCUCGGUGAGAUAACCCAAGCUCAAAUCAAGUGGUCAAAUGCAAGUGAAGGCUAAAGUCAGGUACUUCAAAAAAUUUCUUUACUUUCAUUAUUUUCUACUAAAUACAUUAAUCUCGAUAGAAACUAUGCCAAAAAGAAUUACAACAAAAGGUCGAAGCUUGUUGCGAUGACCUGGACUCAAACAGAAAGCAAACAACAAGGACAAAACCAAAGCCAAGUACUUUGGAAAUUUUUAUUUUCAUUAAUACUAUGAAUUUUUACACUGACCUCAACGGAGGUGAUCAAAAGGAAAGUACACCGAGCUCAGCUAAUCCAAGCAAAGAAGCAAAAAUGGUGCGGCAAGAGACCUCAUCCUUUGCCCUUGCCUUCAUUAGUACCUUCACCAUGACUGACGUUGCCACCUUCUCUAUCAACAGGGUCCUCACCUCUGCCGCCCCCACCUUCACCAAUGUCAUCAUCAUCAUCAUUGAGACCAGAGAAGUCCAUCCCCAGAGAGAGCUACUAAGCCUGAGCUCGCCAUUCUUCGAAGCCCUUCCCGAAGGCAUCGGUUGCGCUCUCCAAGGCCUCCUCUUUGUACUCCUCGGAGGCAAGGUACUUCUUGACCGCCUUCACAACCUUCGCCUCACCAUAGAGGACUUGCUCUCUGGCCUCAGCGGCCUGCCACUCGUCCUUAUUGGCCCUCUGCUAGGCCUAGGCUAGCCAUGUAGAAAACUCCAUUGCCUUCAAAUUAGUGGCUUUGAGGACCUAACUGGCUACGCAUAGUUGGGCCUCCUUUAUUUCCGCCUGGGCCUGCAUGGCCGAGGCACGACAUUUCGUUGAUCUGAUCUUGUCCUCGACCGACUUGUCCUUCACCUUGGCCACUUCAGCCCGCUCUUCGGUAGCUUUUCAUUUUCCCUUGAGGGCGGAAAUCUUGAAUCGAGAUUUCAAAAGCCUGUCCAAGGCCCUUUGAUUACCAUGAGACAAGUUGGUCCGAGGCGCCCUCCACAUAGCCGAUCUGAGACGCCCUCCACAUGGUCUCGAACCCUUAUGGCUGCUUAGAGUGAGCAAAGAAAAAUCUCCCUUUCCAUCUAUAAAUGGAAGAGAGAGUGCCUCAGAUCAGCUGGCGAUCUUUUCGAGGAGAAAAGUGUCACCAAUUGCUAUUCUGAGGAUGCUUCCUCCGAGUGAAAUACCUCCAAAAGAGGAAAGUCGAGGCCUAUAUGCUCAAAGAAAACAACGAGAGAGGAAGCCAACCAGGACCCGCCAGGAAUUCGGAACCAAUUGGGUCGCGACAAGGCUAUAGGCCCUCAUUAGCUUGACAAAAAAGGGGUAGAGAAGUAACCUCAGCCCGGCUUGUAGAGUCUCCUCAUACAGGCUGAGCUAAGGAGGGUGUUGGGUAACUUAGUCACUAGGAUCGGUGAGCUCGAAGAUGAACUUAGGAGGAACAAAAUGAUGGGCUCAGACAAGGUCCAUCUUCUAUUGUGUGAGAAUGAAUGCCUCACAGUCUGGGCCGAUUGGACCCCAGACUCGGCCGAAGGUGACAGCUACCAAGUCUGGGGAGAAUGGUCUAGUGACUAACUCCCCUCUGAGGCGUUAACCUCACCAUCGCUCAUGGUAGGGGAAAUAAAGAAGAAAAUAAAGAAAAAGAUGAAGAAAUGGAGAAGGGAGAAGACAAGAAGAAGGGCUGAAUAGCCAAAGAGCAAAGACCCACUAGAAAUGGAGAAGCAGGAAAAAUACUGGAGCUGGAGAUGAAAGACUUCGACAGAGUACCACUCGGGGGCCUAGAUGCUUAAGCACUCGGAUGAAAGAGCAAAUGGAGAAACAAGUAGAGACUAAAGGUCGGGGAUGCCCUUAUAUAGGGGCGCGAACGACCCGGAUCAAAGCAUCAGUCUAGCUAUCCAGGCAGAUUAAGCCACAUGUCAACACAGGACACGACAAGGGGUGAUCCAUCGGAUCGCUGCAUUAAUAGCAUCUAGAAGUCGCCCUACAAUGAUGGCAUCUCGGGAUGGCCUGAAUCCAUCGACGCUUUGGAAAGACAAAUCAGCACAUUUAUUGCCCAUGAAAAAAAUCUCACCCUCAAUUGAAGUGACAACUUGACUUCCAUCGUCCGAACUAAGAUGCAGCUCAGUCUCGGAAGUGGGGGGCAAGUGUUGGAAAAAAUAUUGGACACCUCGAUUUCGAGACAAACCUACCCCUUUUAUCUUGGACAUAAGCUGAGGAGAAUAACCUCAGCCUCGGCCGAGCAGCCGACGAACAAAAGUGAGCUACCUCAACCCUGGCCGAGGAGCCGAUCAGCUAAGGAGCCAUCAGCUGAAGAAAACAAUCAACAUAUGCCGACAAGGACUGACACUUUUAACAACCGAUAGCUCUAACUGCUUGCAGUCGUGGUAGCGCCAUAGCCUGCGCCCCACCAGUGCGGCCUACUGCCCACGCGGAUUGGCACCCACUCCUUAGUCGUACUAUCGGUUGUUAUCGGCUAUCAUUGCAUACUAUGUCAGGUCAGAUAACGACAAAAUGCACUCUCCUAUAUAAAGGGGCAGCUUGUGGGACCUCAGGUACGCAUGCAAUACUACUCACAAGACCAUACCCUAUGAUAAUUUCUUCCUUUCAUACUGUUGCUUCUGUAUUUUGACUUAGGCAUCGGAGGGUCUCCUACUGGAAACUCUCCGGCAAGUGGACCUUUUACAUGCCACGUCCGCAGGAGAUCCACCCCAUGCACCUUAGUCAGCUUACUCAGCUCAUCUUCAGCAGACCUCAUGAUCGUUCGAGCUUCGCGUCAACCUUAGCCUGGAUUCGACAGCAACAACUAUAUUAUCUCGGUCUUUCUUUUCAAAAACCAAAAUUUAUAUUUUUCACAUUUUUUAGUUAAGUGGCUUCACCUACUAAAUUAAUAUGGAAUAUUUUUUUGUGACUACAUGUGCCACUUUUGGAUCAUAUACCUUAUAUGUCCUUUCAUACUAAUAUAAUUCCUGCCUUACACAAGGCUUGUGUAGACCAUAUACUAUUAAUUAAUGCACAUCCUCCUUAAUUUAUUGAGAUAUUCAAAAAAAAAUCAUGAAGUUUGGAACACAGCAGAACCACUAAUAAAGUUUCAAAUGCUAGGAUCACCAUUAGUAGCACAGUAGGAUGGCCAACGGUUGAAAACUUCUGGUAAAUAUGGCCCUUAGACCCACCAAUCUAAGAUCUUAAAUGUGCAACCCCCUACAUACCUAUGAACUCUAGCACUUUUUGUUUUCUGCUAAGGAACUAAGAAUUUUUUGCAAGAGCAAAGAAUUUUAGCAAUUUCAAUCAGCACGUUAGUAGAGCAGGAGUUCUGUUGCUUAUGAAUGGAACUGCAUGAUGUGCUUGAUCUAAUAUAUGUAAUGAACUUCUCAAUGUUUUAUAGAUAUUGAGCUUUUAUUUGGAGCUUGAUGCCAAAUAGAAAUGCCAAUGACUUGAUGAUGUCGAUAGGUUACCAAUUAAAACAACUAUGUGACAUCAUCUACAUCAUAGCAUGCUUUUGCUAUGUCAUUUUGCUCCAAAUAUUCUAUGUCCAAUAAAAAACCAAUUGGUAAGGAUUUAUAACAAUAUUUUGCUCACAAGCUUCCAAACAGGUUUUGUAACCCUGGGUGGUUUUUGUUUUGCUACUAAGAUUCAACCAUUCCCUUGAACACAUUGCAUCAAUCAUAAGGACUACCAUCUUUUUAAGGCUGCUAGAUUGACCUAAGAUUCCAAUACAUAUAUAUCAUUCCAAACAAUUUGCAACUGAUGGGGAUUACUCAUAGAAAAGUCUAAUCAUCUUUUGCAGAGUUGUCUACAUUGAUUCAAACUGAUGUUCUAUGUCAAAACAUUCUGACUCAUUAGUAUUUUGGUAUUCUUGUAGAGGAUGAUUUGUUGGUUAGAAAACAAGAAUUCUACAGAAUAAAUUAAUUGUUGUAUAUCAACUGGAUUUUUUUUUUAACUGAGAUACAUAGAGUAUAUGAAAGAAAAAUUAAAUACAUAGAAGUAAGAAAGAUUUUAUUGACAGUAUAUCAAAAUAGCUGAAAAUAUUGUGUCAACAAGAAAUUAUUUAUGCCUUUUUAUUUGUGUUUUAGAUCAGUCUGUGUUGAAUUUUUUACAUAUUGUUUGCUUCAAAUUUUUUAUUUUCUGCUUUUGUCAUGAAAGACGUUAAUAAUUAUUUCUCUCAAGACAAUAUUUUCAAGUGAAAAGGACUACUAAUAAUAGUAGAAACAACUAAAUAUUCAGAGGGAUGUGUAUGUUCUUGUCUCCAACUAUCAACUGUUAUCCUCCUUUCUGAGAUGAGGUUAAAGCAAGGAGAAAUCCUAAGUAUCUUUUUUUUUUUCAAAUUGUUUCUGGAUAUCAAGCCCCUUAUUCUUGAUAUGUGACUUCAUUAGGUCCAUGAUCUAAGGUAGUGAAAUUACUAAGCAGAACAGUGCCACACAAGUUAAGCCCCAUAAAUUUUAUUGUGUUAAUUCUUGAAUUUCUCAAAGUAUUCUUGAAUUUAUAAUGUAAUUUUUAUAGACAUCUGGUGAUGAAGAGAGUCCUAGUCUAGCUUUUUGAGCUUAUUCUGAAUAUUAAAUUCCACGUUGCCAUCACAUCAGUCAUAAUGCUAUCUCACACGCUAUUAGAUUGGAAAAAUGACCAAGUUGUAGAAUGCAAUUUACAUUUAGAGACUGAUUCCUUAAGACAUCCAUAUAUACUAAAAUUUAAAGAUAGACCAGUGGGACAUAGGGACAAAAAUUUCAAAGGGAAUUGAUCAAGAAUUUGAAAAGAACCAUACUGUAACCUUUUAAGUUUCAAAAUAGAUCUUGUUAUCUACUUCACAUAUUUUUAUAAUUAUAUUACAUAAUUUUCCAAUAAUUUAAAAAAUAAUAUUAACUAUUUGGGAGAUAUUUGGGUUGUUGUACAUAUAGUGUAUCGUGUUCUUUAGGCACUAACUAAAUUCAAGGCAUCGACAAAUGUAACCUAACCUCUAUUACAACCCACUUAACCCACCCCAAUCUUCACUAUAAAAGGUGAAAAUAUAACAGAGGAAGAAUAAUGAAAGUAGUAAUCAUGUUCAUAUUUUUGAAGAUGUACCAAGACUCCAGCCAAAAGAAGUUAAUUUCAAAUGGAAACUAAAUCUAUGAACCUUGUGACUCGCUCAGCAGGAUCAAAAGAAUGCUUGAAUACAGAUGAUCAAGGAGUAAGAGAAAGAAGAGGUUAAAUUCACUAUAGUGCAAGAUCUCAAGUCAACUUCUAUACUGAUAUAGAUGAACAUUAUGGGGCCAUGGUGUAGAGAAAGAUAAUGUAAAUCCAAGAUUGGACGUAAAUAUAUAUUAUAGAAUGAAAUAACUUCAAAAAAUAUAUAUCAAAAUAGACUAAAUAGGGCGAAGUAAUGUUAUUAAAUGUAAUAUAUGAAAACUAGAGGCACUCAAAGUAUUUAUUGCUCUGUUAUAUAUCUUCUGUUAAGGUCCUUAACAUUGGACAACCUAAAGGACUUAGAAGAUUUUUUUAAACAAUUUUUUUGAAUGUAACUGUCCUACUUAAUGGUUUAUUUAAGGCCUUCUUAUAUGAUUUUAUCUAUUCUAUAUGAUUACCAAGUAAGACGAUAACAUAUUUUAUUGAGCCUCGUUUGAACCACGAGUUCGGCUAACUAAUGCUCUAAUAUUCUAGUCAUUUUCAAGCUUCUUAAAUCCUUUCAAAGAACUCUCAUUCAUGUUUUCUUAGGUCCUCAGUUUUCCAGGGAUUUCGAUAUAAACUGAACAAAUAUAGCUUAUUAAGACCUCAUGUAUUUUUCCUUAUACAUUCAAGGUUGUCUUAAUCAAUUCUUUACCAUUUUCUUCAUAUAUUGUGUAAUUUCUAUAUAUCUUCUAAUCUUGGAGAUAUGAUUGCUUCAUGUUUGAUGUAAAAUGACUAAAGAUACUUGUUUGAUAUAACAAGGGUACGCAUUAGAUAUUUAUCUGAAGUAUGGCAUAAGUUCUAUCUAUUCUCUAAUCUAGUAGGCAUGGUUGUUUCAAAACAGAUGCCAUGUCCAUUUCUGAUAUAUAAUGAGUAAAAAGACUUGUUGAAUAUAGCUGGGGUAAAUGCUGUUUAUUUAUUUUAAUUAUUCUAACUUCCUCAUCUUCUUUUUUCUAAAUGUUAAACUUCUAAGGAAUAAAUGACGCAAGAUUUGUAUUAGAUUUUGUAAUGUUAAAGGUAUGAUAUGGAGUAUGGAUUAUGAUAUGUGUGUGUGUGUGUGUGAGAGAGAGAGAGAGAGGGAGAAGAGAUCCAUGCUCCACUUAGAUGCAAAAACAUGCUUCGGACUCGAACUAAAUCAUAACAUUGUGAACAUAUUCACAAUAUCUACCUUGGCGCAUACUAAGAGGGUGCCUAACUUGUUUAGUUGGCAAAGUCACUAGUUGUUGAUACCUUUCAAACCCUAUACACAUCCAGUUUUGGCCAAACUUCAUCCCAUCCUAGUUCUAAAAAAUUAUGAUCCAUAUCGAAGACAUGCACUUUGCAACCACAUGGAUGCCCAAGCCCCAAUUAUAGGAUGCAACACCUAGAGUAUUGCACUGAAACAACAAAAUAACCAAAUCAUUCCUUUAGAAAAUCUUAGAUUUAUUAAAAUAAAUAAUCUGCUUAUAUGUUUGCUACAAAUAUUUAUGUAGCUUAUUAUGUUUACUAGGUAGUCCUGAAAUGAAUUGUUGACUACCAUGCAAUUCUUUGCAGGAUGCUGAAUCCAAGAAAAAAGAAGUAGGAAUACAAAGAAAAGAAUGAUAUACCGUCACAGAGCCAUCUUCAUAACGCUGAUAACGUUGGUAUGCCAUGAGGUCCUCUUCAUACCCUGGUCGUUUCAGCUCAGUCUUGUUCUGCUUCCUAUUAGCACGAGCUUGUGAAAAGACCAUGGAAUAGUUAGUGGCACCUCCAGCCUUUUGAUCCCAUCCCCCAAAUUGAGGGAUAGCCUUCCAACCAUUCUUCUAGAGAAAAAAAACAAAAAAAAAAGAAAAAAACCUCAAUUGAUCAAUAAAUGGUUAAAGAGGCAUAGAUAAGAACAAUUUUACAGACCAAAAGUUCAGCCCACAUAACAUUUAUGCUCCCAUAGAAUAUUGUGAUUGCAAAUGGAGACAAUAAACGAAUAGCUAAUUUAAUAUAUGACUCAUUGACACAGAAGAUUCUACAUAAAAUUUUAGACUGAGUGCAAAAUAACUUUUAACAUUCAAUAAAAUUGGAACGAUACAGAGAAUAUUAGCAGGGCCAAAUCCUUAAAAGAAUUUUAUACAAAUUGAGGAGUGCCACAAAUGGUAAAAUAGACAGAAAACAUCAAGUCAAUUUUCUUUUACAUCACAGCAAUUGUUUUACCUAUUGCUAUUAAAACAAAUUUAGAAAUAAGUAACUGAAAUGUUAAUUUGGUUAAAGAUUGGUUUUAAUGAACAUGAGGUCAUGCAAUGAACAUCAGCCCCCAGCACAAAAGAAAAAUGUAUAAAUUAAUGCUUCUUUUCUUGAAAGGAAAAUGCUCUCUUACUGCAAUUGAUUUGAAACAAACUCUGCAGUUGAUAUCAAAGAAUAUUCUUUUCUAAACAUUCAAGAGAAAAACAAUAUAAAGUUGUUAAAUUACAAUGCCCCUAAAAUGAUUAAACUGAACUAAUAGGAAUCCCAAAAUAAUGAUAAAGUGAAAAUAUGAUCUUUCUUUCUUUCACGCUUUUGAAAUACCUCUUUGAGGUGCUCCAUGACUCGUUCAGAGCGGGGGAUGGGGAUCCUUGGAGUCUGAUAUGGCCAACCCUUAUUUAUAGAGGUGCUAUUGAACGACAGAAGCCUGAGGGAAUGUUUCAAUAUUCCGUUUUCCAUGGCUUUCCUUAUUUAUCCUCCUUGUUGUCUUUUUCUUUUGGGUCCUUUCAGUUUUUUCUGUUUUUUAAACAACAGAACAAUUCUCUUAAAUGGAAUGUGGUGGUCAGACGAACCCUCGGUUGCUAAUUCUGGUCAAAGCCCCAAGCUUUUAAGCUUUGGUUUGCUCGUUUUGUGAACACCAAGGUUUUCUUGGACCCAUUAAUGCUGGUUUAGCAACUUAAUAACAAUCAACCAUUCCAAUGCCUCCUGCAAGUCCAGCAAUUAUCUUUGUAACGAGAUCUCCUCCCCUCUAUGAAGGUAUGGCUCCCAGGGAUCUUCCUCACAACUCUCUCUCUCUCUUGAGCCUCUUCUUUUGCUCAUGAUCACUGUCCUCACUCCACUCUAUAUCUCUUUACGCUAUAGAAAAAAUUGUUUUUUCUAACUCUGAUCUACCGAUGCUAGAAAAAAGCGUCGGUAAUUUAGUUACCGCACCAAAAUUUGCCGGCGCUUUUUAGUAGCGUUGUCAAAAACCAAACUAAAAUGAUGCUUAUAAACGUCGUCUAAAGCCAAUAAUAAGACGAUGCUUAUAGGCGUCGUUGGAAGCCGAAGCCAAGAAGGAUUAAGACAACGCUUAUAAGCGUCGUCCGAAGACAAGACUAAGACGACGCUUAUAGCUCUAAACGCUUUAAAGCGUCGUUAAAAGAAGCAUUACCGACACUUAUACGCAUUGCUAAGUGCUUGAUUUUCGACGCUUACAUUACCGACGCUUUUGCGACGCUUUAGGAAGCAUGGGAAUAAAACUACGGAUGCUUAUAAGCGUCGGUAUAUACAUUAAAAAGCUACAGCAAUGCUUGAUUUUCUUGUGGUGUUAGUACUUAUUCAUGAUAAAAAAAAACAAGGUGAACACAAUGAAGUCCUUGGUUAUGACUAGAAAUUUGUGAUUAGUUAUAUGACUAUAAAGACAGCCCUUUCAUCAAAAAUCUCCACAAAUCUUGAUUGGUGAGCUUGCUAGGUUACAAGAGAGCUAAAAUUGAUCUGCAGCACCUUACAUCGAAUCAAAUCAUGGCUGAAGUAAAAAAUGGCAGAGAACACACCACCAUAACUACCCUUCACGAUUGUGCUUAAGACAACAACAAAGAUAUGAAGAAACUAUAGGGCAUAGAACCUCCAUGCUUGGUUUCGUGGGAUAACUGAUAAAAAUAUAUUAGGAGUCCUAUUUGAAUUUGCCUUUUAUCUUAAAAAAUCAGUGAAGCUGGUCGCAAAGCAUGGCAUGGGUGCAAGGAAUGCUAAAUGUGGCUCCUAGAAACUUUCAUAUAAGCAUAUCUACGAGGAAAAUGUUAGUCGAACCCACUAAGGGGAAUGAAAUAUGAGACAUCUUGAUGAAGCAUUCUACUUUCUCAUACACUUAUUGAGAUCAUGGACUUUGCUCGGGGGGUCAUCUUCCAGAGGCAGUACCUUCGAUUUUUAGCAUUUCACUUUAGAGAAAUGUCUCCAAAAAAUUUGAAAAAUUAAAAAAUUCACAAAAUCAAAAAUUAUCAGUUGUCGGCUCUACUUUAGAAUCAGAUAGGCUAGAUAACAACUUAUCAUUUGAGGAUCAUUCCACAGUAUCUUUCUCAAAUUCUAAGGAUCAUACUUUUCUACAACCAGUAAGACAUCUAAGGAGCCUUCUAAUCUGGAUAUGCCUGUGUCUCACAUUCUCUCUCUCUUUUGGGGCACAUCCUGAAACCCUCGUUCUUUUGUUCUUCUGCUAUUAAAGCCCAACAUGAGGACUCUUUUCCUUCUGGUGAUUUUCUUGAAGCCUUUUCCUUUUCUAAUGAUUUUAAGGCACAAUGCUCCACUGUUUCUGAGAUUCAUCUAAAAUGCUCUUCUUUUCGCUCCCCAAGCUAAUCUGCACCACAAGCCUCCCUGUCACACCCUGACCAUGUAUGUGAGCUAAGGAUGCAGUAAUCACCGAAUAUUUAUGGAAAACUUUUCCCAAAGAAUUCCAUCAUAAUAUCAUAAGUCAUACAGUGGAAUAAUUUAGAUAACUUAAGACCAAACUUUAAACUUAAAUAACUAAAAUCCAAAAUUUAAUAUUUCAUAAAAAUCCAACAAUAUCCAAAGGUUUAAUAUUAAUCUUUAAUAAAAUUCUAAUCUAAAUUAAAGAAAUCAAACUUUGCUUCAAAAGUUAAUUCUCUGAAUCUGUCAAAUAGUAUGAUACCGGUUCAUGAACUAAACAACCCAAUAAGUAAUGAGCACUUUAAUUAGAUAAAUCAAUCAAAAGGAUAAUAAGAAAUUUUACUGAUAAUAAGAAUAAGGAAUAUAUUAGUUCAAAAUUAAAUCCAACAUUAUCCAAAUAAUCAAAUGUUAAGGUAUUAUCUUCACAUAGAAAAUAUCAUGCAUUCAAAUCCAAUGUUUCCCAAAAUUUAAGUUCAUGAAUCCAAUCUUGCAAAAAUAUCAUGUUCAACUCAUCAAACAUGAACUAUGACUAUAUCGUCCCUAUGGUAGAGCCCUUUUUAUGAUACUACUUCCUUCUUGGAUUCUACCGUGCCUUUUUUAUGGCAUAUGUCCUUUAGGAUAAUUCAUGUGCCAAUAUUUAACCUUCAUUGACAAGGUCUUUGCGCCAAUGUUUAACCCCCAUUAAUUGGUGGGGUUCUUGUGUCGCACCUUUUUGUGGCAUAAACCAUUCUAGACAAGUCAAGUGCUAACAUUUAACACCCAUUGUUGGGAUCCUUAGCAUAUUCUAGCCAAGAGUCCAAAACCAAUUCAACUCGAAGCUUUUUUUUCACAAUUAUAUUUCAUGUUCCAAAUUUAAAAAAACAUAAACUAUAUAAUAUUGAAAUUAAUCGAUAAGUGAUAAGCAUAAUCAAUAACAAAAAUAUUACUUUCAAUUAUGAGUCAUAUAAUAUUCAAAAUAAAACAUACUAUUCAAUAAUAAUAAAAAUACUAAUCCAUCAAAUUCACAUAUCACAUAUAGUACAACUCAAAAUUAAUUAAAUAUUGUAUAAUUUAUUGAAAAAUGUAGAAAAAGAUUGUGCAUUACUUAUCUUGUAAAUACAAUCAAAUCCAAAUAAAUUCUGAAUAUUUUCCUCCAAAACCUUAAUUGAUGGGCUAUAGGAUAGCGCCCCUUGUUGGACAUUUUCUUGUCCAGGCAAUCACAUCUCUAUGCAAAAUCAAGUCCAAUAAUUACAAAAGGUAUGAGAAAUUGUAGAAAUAUAGAUGGCAGAAUUGGAGGAAGAUAACAAUGCAAGCCAGUUUGGGUUGUUUGAUAGCUCGACUCUAUUAGAUAUGAGUAAUCCAACUGAUAAAAUUACUGAAAAAUAAUUAGACUGGACCAAGGCACAGAUAACACAGUGGAGGUUGAUGAUGAUAUAACCUAAUGGUACCUGACGAGGGUUGACAUCGGGUGCAGCUAGCUCAAGACCUCGUACUAAUAGGGUAGACCAACAAAUCAAAUGAAAGGGAGAGGAAAAAUAGAGGGACCCGCUAGGAAAGGAAAAAAGAAAGAGAGAGAAUAGGGAAGGACGGAGUGGGAGGGAGAGGCCCACAAGGUCUCUCUCAAGAAGGCAGUCAUGAUUGUGAUGACUUGAGGGUGGAAGGGGUGGUUCAUGGCCGGAAGGCCAGAAGUCAGCAACCAUGGCAGGCAUUGGCGGUGUUCGAUAGAAGAAGAAAAUUUAAAGGAAAAUGGGGGAAGGCAAGAUUGAUUCAAACAAUGUCUAUUUGAGGCUUUAAAUGCUAAUCAGGAGCUGACAUCCACUGAGCGGCCACAUGGAGUGCUAAAGCUGUGAGGAUCCGUACGGGCAUAUGUUUAGUCACACAUCGGUUAUUCGCUAGAUAGAUUUUAGAUACUUAUAUGAAAUCAAAGAACUCAAAUAAUACCUUUCGGCUAGCCAUUUUGGAUGAGGUACAGGAUUAUUACAAAUGGUAUCAGAGCAGAUUCGGCCCAUAAUCUAUGUGGAUUAGAGGAUGCUGCAACAUGGAUCCAUUGCAGCUGACCAUGAGUCGAUUGUGGUGUUUAUGAUUAGAUUUGAAAAGAUUUAAAUUUUAGUCUGAUGAGGACGUCAGGUCGAUUAUCCAACGCCUCUUACGGAAUGAUUGGGAGGUUUUAACAGCCAACUAGCAGAGCGGUCUAUCUGGGCCUUGCUUGGGUAACAAGCCAAGCUGUGUCCCAAAAAGCUCCAAACAGGUCAGGCGGUCUAAGGCUUGCUCAGUCUUAAGCCACAAAAGGGCCAGAUAUUACAUUUUCUCCCCUCCAAGAAAAUUUUAUCCUCAAAAUUUUCUAGCCCGAAUCUUCAGAAAGACGCGGGUAUUUUUACCGCAAUUCAUCCUCUAGUGGUUUGUCUUUUCCUCCUUUAAUAAAACCUACUCUAGUACAAAUUCAAGCCAAGUCUUUCAUUAUAGCGCCCUCCAAGUCAAAGUUAUUAUUUGUUGCCCAAAAUGGUGACCCAAGAGAAAGAACGAGGUAAAGUAGAGUUUCAAAAUUUUGCACAAACUUAAAUAAUAAUUAAGUAAAAUAAAUUUAAAAAUAAUAUAUAUAGUGAAAUAAAUGAUAAAUAAGUACAGAAGAUAACAACAAGCAUAAACAAAUUGAACACCAAGAUUUUAUAGCAGUUCGGAGCCAAACUUAGCUCCUACAUCCAUUUUCCAAGACUUCAUUCUUGAGAAUUCUACUAUAAUCCAUAAACAAGUUUAUAACUUGGUUGUUUUUCGGACUAACAAUCAAACUUAAUUUAUUUUUUCUGGCAAUCAACCAAAAAUAAGCUGUUUUGCUGGUACAGCUAAACCAAUCUCGAGUUUCAACACUUAGGACCUCAUUGCCAAUUUUCAAGCUCGGCAAAACCUAAUCAAUUUUUCAAGAUAAUCAUUCACAACCUAGCUAUUUCAUGAGUAUAGUCAAACUUUAUAGGAUAGCUGAUUUUUAACAAUGCUAGCUACACCAUAAACCCCACAUGAGAUUUUCUAAUCUCAUGUAUUAAACAAAGAUAGAAAAUACAUACACAAUGACCUUUACAAAUAUUAGAUUUUUCGUAUUGUAGCUUGUGCUUGAUUUGCUCUGAAUAUUGGGUUCUCGAAGAAUGAAAGUUAGUUCUUUCUCUUUCCCUUUCUUGAUUGUUUUAUAUGUUGUGAUAGAACUUGAAGCUCUAAGAGUGGUGCUUGACUUGUAUUCUUUUUCUUUUACCUCAUCCACUCACUCUCCUUGAUCCCUCACUUCUCCAAUUUAAUUUGGAAGUAUUUAUAGAUUGAAAAGUUCUUGAGGAGCUAUUUCUAACCGUUUGAAGUCGUUUCGUACGUUCCAUGCUUGUAGAAAAAAUAGCCGUUGAAGCUGUCACACGCAUAAGGGGUCGACUCUUGAAGUAUUAGGGUUGACUCCUGAAUCCUGAGAUCAACUCCUAAAAUCUUGAGGUUGACUCUUGAAUCCUAGUGUCGACUUUUGAAAUGUUGAGGUCGACUCUUGAAACUAUGGGGUCGACUCCUAAAGUAUUUGAAAAUGACCGUCUUCUGUUUCUGACCUGUGGCUUUCUAGGGUCGAAUCCUACAAAUCUAGGGUCGACUCCUGGGGUUCUGGGGUCGACUCUUCUUCACCUGAGGUUGACUCCUCCACUACAAAAGCUUUCAAAAUACUUCUAAUACUUCUCCAACUUUGAAUUUUUUUUUCAAGGCUUUUUCAUUUUUCUCUAACCUUUCAAACUCAUUGAGCUCACUACACAACAAAUUAACCACUGCAAAAAUACAAAAUCAUUAGUAUUAUACUUAAACAUUUUGUAAUCAUCAAAAUUAACCCAUUGGGUCAAUAAUCUCCUCCUUUUUUAUAAUGACAAAACUUUAAUAUAUAAAAAGUAAAGCAUAUUGUGUUUCUAGGAUUUAUGCAUAAUUAAUUCAUUUAUGUCAAACAUGAAGGAAACAAAUAUAUGCCUUAAGAACAUACUUCAUGAAUGCUUCAUAAAACUUUGAGAAUUUUAGAUUAACUCAAGUUAAUAUAUUCAAUAUAUUCAAUUAUGCAUAUACUCAACCUACUGUAUCCCCCAUUUUGACGGCUUCAAAAAGUUGCCUUUUGAAAUUAGAGAAUGUCAAAAAAAUUAUAGCAGCUUCAAAUUUAUCUUAAUCAAGUUUCGGGAUAAUUGAAGAGCUUAUGGAUGCCAGCAAGAAAGAUCAGAUUUAGAGCUUUUAGUCAUUCAACUUUGACGUAUCAGACCACUUGAGGUUCAAGAAUUAAGCUUCAAAAGUUUCGUACUUAGCAAUAGUUAACUUUCUCUCUCCCCCUUUUUCAUUAAAUUAGAGCAAUUAAAGAUUAAUUAUAUUGGUAUUAAAGACAUCAAAUAUUGCAAUUUGAUUUUUAAACGAAGCACUUGAUGCACCAACUUAAUAGCAAGUUGAUCUUUUGGAGCUUUCGGCUAGAGGAGUGUUGACUUUUUGGAGCUAUUCGGCUGGCAACCCCAUUCUUUGGAAACUAUCAUAAAAUAACACAUUGAUUGAGCUUCCAUUAUCAACAAGUAUUCUCUUUACAUCAUAUUUUGUAAUAGUAAAAAAAAUAACUAUAGUAUUAUUAUGAGGAGUCUGUACUCCUAGGUUGGCAUCGAAGAAGGUGAUGAUGUCCCCUACACUCGUCUCUUUGGGGCAGCUUUGGCUUCUUGGGGAGCUCGGCUGCCCUAGUCAUUUGGGACCUCAGGAGGUCCACCAGCGAUGGUGUUGAUGACGCCUGCUAUCGUAUGGCUGUCGAUCGGCUUCGAAGGUGACGAAUUAGAGGCUGAAGUAGUCGCUUCUCGGUCCUACCAAGUGUGCACGUAUCGAGUCGCCCAUGCCGAAUGAGCACCUCAAUUUCAUCCUUGGGCUGGAUGCACUCCUCGGUGUCAUGGGCGUUGUCCCGGUGGAAGCAUUAGUUUUUUUUCUGGUCCUUCUUGACCGCUGGAGUCCUCAUCGGGCACAGAGGGAAGAGGUAGCCUUGGCCCUCAAUCUCCAUGUGGAUUUGAGUCCUUGGGGCGGAGCGUGGAUUGUACGUCCCAAAGUUCCAAGAAGGGCUCUUGUACCGCCGUGAGCCGCUCUCAUGUUGAGGUGAGGCAUCCCUCGACUCCCUCUACUCUUCGCGUCCCAUCUUGGAUCCUUUGGGAAAUCUUCCACCAGCAGACUCGUGAUAGAAGGCCAUGGCUUCCUCCACUUUCGCAUACUUAUCUGCACACGCCAGCAUUCGACAAAGUCCGCCGGAAAGCGCUUUUCUAGGGAGAAGAGGAAGCGCGACGGUCGUAGGCUGCUCUUCAUUGCCAACAUCAAGACCGAUCGAUCUAGGUCGCAGACCUCUAGUGUCGCCGCAUUAAAGCGGCUAACAUUGUCCCUGAGGGACUCUUUCUCUUGCUGCUUGAUGUCGAGCACCACGUCCAAACUAUGGCCCCAUCUCCGCUGGAGAUGCAAUGUGCCAUAAAGAGGCGGGCGAGCUGCUCGAAGGAAUGAAUGGAUUCAGACAGAAGCCAAGAGAACAAGAGCUGAGCCACUUUGCGAAGGAUCACGAGAAACACCUUGCACAACAUGAUGUCGGUGGCUCCAUGCAACAUCAUGAGAGCCUUGAAGCUCUCUUCAGAUGAUCCAAGAGAUCAAUGGUGCCGUCUUACGACUCCAUUUGGGGCAACUUGAACUGAAGUAAGAUCAGUUCCUUCAUGAUCUGUUAGGAGAAGGAGGCUUCGAGGAGAACUUGAGGUCGUUGUUUUUCCUUGGAGCUUGUCCUCUAAGAUGUUGGAUCUACUAGCCCAUUUUUUUGAUUCUCCUAUCGAGGUCGGCAUUCCACUGAGGCAAGGGUUCCAUAUGGAGAGGAAAUGAGAGGCUCGAAGUGGAGUCUCUGCUUGAAUGGGGGCUUGAAGUACAUCGUUUUCCAUUCCGACCAGGACCGCUCUGUUGAGUGCAUUGGCUCUAAUGUGACCGCUCGGGGUCCUGGUCCUGAGAGUGGUGGCUAACUAAGCGCAUGCAGUGCGCCGAUGACUAAGAGGGUGGCUGGGCUAGUAGGAUUCCGGCGGGACUGACUCCGGUCGUACUGCUACUUGCUGCAGGUCCUAGACCGCCACGGUCAGCGCCUAAAACUGUUGAAUGAGCAUGUUGAAUUACUCAUUGUCCAUAAGCGCAAUGGGUUGUUCUGGCAGAGUAGGUUCUGGACUCUGCAACGACCCUUGGGAGGUCGGAGCAUGGCGUUGCAAAGCAUGUAAUAUGUCGUGGGCUCCUUAUGACCUCAUGCCAGUUAUCUCCCCCUUCGAUUUAUGUUGAUGUAGUUGGGGGCAAGUCCUUUCUGUAGUUCCAAUCUAUUGCCGCUGGAUCCAAAUCGAGGUCGGAGCGCAGCUCGGACAACUCUGAAGUCGGCUGGAGGCGAGCUAGGCAGGCUGGUUGAGGUGUGUUGGAGCUGGCUUCAUCCGGAGAUGGCCUGUAAGAAGUCCGCUUGUCGAAGAUUUUCCGGCAGGAGACCCUCCGAUGCCAAAGUCAAAAAUGAGAGACAACAGUAUAGAAAGGAGAUAAUUUCGGCAGAGUGAGGUUUAGAUUUUGCAUAGCGUGUGUUUCUAAAUUUUUGUUGCAUGCCGGAAGUCCCUUGGGUUGGCUUCCCCUUUAUAUAGAGAAGUAUAUUUUAUCGUUACCUAGGCUAACAUGGCAUGCACUGAUGACCAAAUAACAGCCGGUAGUACGACAGCGGUACGAGAGUCAAUCCGUGUGAGCGGCGGUAGUGCAGGUCGGGCGCAGAUUAUGGUGCUGCCACGACUACGGGUUGCCAGGGCUGUCGAUUGUUACGACUAUCAUCCUUUGUCGACACAUGCUGAUUGUUCUCCUCGACUGAUUGGCUCUUCGUCGGGGCUGAAGUUGUUCACCUUGGGUAGGCCCAAGGUCAACUUAUGCCAAGGUCAUGGAGAGGUCAGUGUUAUCCAAGGUCAAGUGUUCAAUACAUUUUUCAUUAGGUGGGAUCAAAAAAUCUAUUUAAUAAAUAGAUUAGGUUCACAUUUGAAUUUUUUAUCUAUUUAAUAAAUAAGUUUGAUUCAGAUUGCUGAAUUUUUGACUCGAUCUGCAUUCAAUCUAAUUCAUAUUGGAUUCGAUCUAAUCCAAUUGCGACCCCGCAACCUAGUACACUAAAGUAGAAUUCAUAAGCAAUGUAUUAAUCCGCUAAAGGUGAUGUAGCGGCAAUUCUCUACUAACAACUAAUUAAUGACCGGCAUAACGCAUCCUUCACGGUCGUCCUCAUGCAGUACUCCUCCGUUUGCUCUGAUGUCUUCAACAUUGCUAUCCAAACUACAUCCCAACUCGUGCAGUCGGUGGCCGACGUCGUACCGGUGAGGCAACCGCGCCGACGGCGGUAACUCCAUCAUCCAUCAUUUUGCACUUAUGGCAAUAAACCGUGUGGGAUUUUAAAUUUAUAAUUUUCUCUCAUAUUAUAAAUAGUUCAAAAGAUUCGAAUGGAACUUUUAAAUGGGGUUAGAGAGGUGGACGUGAUACAGUCGUACAGAACUGUACUUCGUUUUUCGCAGGUGGAAGGUAGGAACGAGAUAAGGAAGGGAAGGAAAAAGAAAAGAAAAAGGUUGCAUUGCUUCCGAGCGUGUCCUUGAACUAAUUGAACAAAUAUGUUGUAUGCCACAAUGCAACGUAAGCUAUCCAACAUAUUUGUCCCUUAAUUGGGUUCAACAAGAAAUUUUUUUUUUUGCUAGCAUCUAAUAUAGUAUAUAUCAAUUAUCUAAUUGGCCAUUUUUUUAAUCUUAAAUCUUAUAUAAUAAAUUCCAAGUAUUGAUAUAGACCUAAUUCAAUACAACCUGUGUUGUAAGUCCGCCAGGUGAGGUGUUCGUCCAAGAAGCUGGAUAGACAUCUCAAUAAAGAAGUUGGUAUGGGUCACAAUUACAAAUUAAACUCCAUCUUAUUCUCAACGUUGAAUAUAUACUUAUCUUAUUUUAACAAAACUUUAUUUUAAUUUAAUGACCCACGAAUUCUUUCGAGAAACAAUGAGCAAUGAAAUUCUCUGCUGAUAAUAAUCAAAUUUCUAUGCAAGUUAUUAUAUCCCAUCGAUCAAGAUACUGGAAUAAAUUGUUGCUUUUCUAAUGAUCAAGGGAAUUGCGCGCAUCUUUUACAAUAAUCACAGGAAAAGAAUAUGAGGCAAGUUGGAUUGUCCUUAAAAAAAAGAAAGCUCUCAGUUUGGGUGUCCCAAAAUGACUACUCCGUAUCUUGCUCCACCGCAUAAGAUACCACAUAUUUGUUUGAAAACGACUGCUCCAGCCUAACAUAAUUUUUUUUGAUUUUAUCUAAGUAUUCAAAAUUUAUUCAUCGAAUAAUUGAUAUGGAACUAAACACACGUCCACACAGAUCCUCACAUUAUCAAUCUAAUAAGAAUUAUGAUACUAACCUAUUUAAAAUUAGACUGGAUGGGGUUAUAGUGGUCCCAAAAACAUAGAAUAUCCACACUUUCUAAAUGGCAGGGGGUAGGAUGUGUGGAUUUGUUCAAAUAAUGAGAAAAAUCUUGAAGGUUAGCAUGCCUUAUAAAGCCAAAAAUAAACAAAUAAAUAUUUUUUUGUCGGUUCCUUUGUAAACCCCACUGUGAUGGAAAGUCUUUGGUUUCAUAAUUGCCGGUCCACAGACUAGCGUUUCUCUCUUCGCUCUGAAAUCUCAACUCUACUCUUCCCCACCCACCCUCUCAUCCGCUCGAAAAAAUUUCUAACCUCACGUGCUCAACUUCCCUACCCCAUCCCUUCUCAUUCGACAGAAGUUCUUUCUUUUUGACAGAAAAGGAGGCCAGGCUACCUAAAUCUAUUAAGAAUGAAAAAAAAAGUACAAAGGUAGAGGGAAGUACAGACAAGAAAGUAUGAUAAUAGUUGCAAUAGUUUUUACACAAUAAUGAAAUACAAUCAAACAAAACCUUCAACUGAUUUAGCGAAAGGACAAAUAAAUUUUUUUGAAGCAAGUCCAUUUCAAUGAAAGAUGUAUUCAUAAUUUGCAAGUCCAUGGUGUCUGAUAGAUGUUCUCAUGUGCAGAUAGAGUCCGUUUUCUUCAAAGGUGCAAAAAAUUAAAUGACACUCAUAACUCAUUAGGUGUAUAAUAAGAUAGAGGCUUCUUUCACUUUAGAUUUUGCCAGCGGGUCAUCCCUUGCAUUUUGAAUGCCGCCAGCAAAAUAGUUUGGUCAGACACCUCAGGCUUAUAAAAUACUCCGUAGGACAGUAAUCUACUUGGAUUUUCCAACAACUAUAACUUUAAUGGUGUCAGCUAUUUCAUUCUCCUGAGUUGAAUUGGGACGAAAAUACCCCUGUAAUAAUAGGCUAAGGCUUCUAAUAUAUGGUCGAUACGAAUACCAGCACUAAACUAGCGUCAUGUGCGUCAUGUCAAGGUGAUAAGGAUCAAAUUCAAAAUCCUCCAAAUUUGAAUUCAGUUAAGACAUCCUACAUCAAGGCAUAAUCUCCUCCUUGUUACCUACGAUAGCAAGAUUUACCCAAUGUCAAACCAAAUCACAUUCACCCAUGAUUAUAGGCAUUCUGAUAUACAUUCCUUAUAAACAAUAUUUUUUAAUUUUCAAAUAUAAUCAAAAGAUGUACAUUCAGACUUAUAUAAAACGGAGUUUUUCUACUAAAUUGGUACGAGAGUUUACAAUAUCUUUUUCAUCUUUUCAUAAGGAAAGCUAUCGACAAUACUAUCUUACCACCAAGCAUACUGUGCGAACAAAACUAAAGUUGAUAAUUAUGGAAUGAAAAUUUUGAUAAAAAUAGAGUUUGACGAAUUUACCUUGUUGAGAUCAAAACAUAGGUAAUCUAAAAUUGUUUGGAUCAUUUUACAUAUAUAAAACCAUCACUACAAUAUCAGUAAGUCGUGUGAAGUCUUAGUAUGGAGAUCAUACCUUUCUACUGCUCAAAUGCCCUGCCUCCCAUUUCAGAGAGAGCCUCAGCAAUUUUUUUCUUUUUUUCAUCCCUUUUGAAUUUAAGAAGUAGGGAGAGGUGGUAACUGUUUUUAAACACCCCAAAACCAUUCCUCCUAGUCCUGGAUCGUUCCAUCAUGGGGCCCAACUUGUAUCCAAGAAACCCAACAAUGAUAUAUAUAAACAUUUAAGUAUCUGUCAUGUUAGGUAGAGCAAUGCUUGAUCCACACUCUUGUGUUGUGGAAAAGACUUAAAGCCAAAUUGUAUGACAUUAACGUUAUUCUAAAUAAGUCUACGUACGCUUUAGAGCUAUGGAAGAUAAGCUCGAAUAUAUAUGUCUCUCAUUUCCUUCUCAACCCCUCCAUAUCAAAGUCUAAUAUCCCAUCCAAAGCAUUAAAUCAACGAUCGACUUUACUUGUGAAAUACAAAUAGUAACAAAAUCUUUUCCUCAAAAAAAAAAGGGAAAACCAAAUCUAGCGAUAGGAUAUCCUUUAUAGUAAACGAGGAGCACCACCUCUGGCGGCAUCAUGUUUAUCUUGUCCUGUCCCCAAAGGUCAGUUAAAAUUGUCUCCUGCCGGGCAUCGACACAGUCUCACUAAAAUUCCUUGCUAAUAGAAAGAGAUCAGGAGAGGUACCAAAAAAAAGUUAAAAAAAUAAAAAAAGCAUAAAUAAUAAUUGUUGUAAAGAAUUAAAUAAAACAUUUAUCCCAAGGCUUACAAUCAUCCUUCUCGGAGAAGUUUGUUGUCCCUGUAGCCACACUUUCCUAUCUAGUAUAUGAAGGUUCCUGGCUUGAGAUUUUGAGGGCGCAUCUCCAAGUAUUUACAAAUUACAAGUAUGCGCUUUGUUGCCAUAGUGAAGAAUUUCUAUGUUUCUAGAGGAAGACUCGGCCACGGUCAUCAGCUGGAUCCGAAGGGGUCCAAGAGGUAAUGGUUGCGUCCACUCUUUGCUCCGAGACAUCUGAGCCUUGGUGCGGGACAGAGGGACCUUCCAGGCCAAGCAUGUUUUCCAUAAAGCAGGGCUGCGGACUGGGUGGCUGCUGAUUAUGUAGUCAGUCACUCUGACAGUACCCUGUGGGCUGGAGAUAGGAAGCUGCCCGUGGUACUCCGAGGCAUUUUGCUUUUUCGAUUUUAUUGGGUGUAUAUCCGUACUCGUCAGGUAUGAUCUACCCGCCUUAGUACCAAAAAAAAAAACGAAUUUCAUGUUCAUUAUCUAUUUGUUAUUAGGUUUAUGUAUUUCUGACAUUCUCGAAACUUUUGUUUACCGAAACAUAUUUUAAAAAUUAUUUAGACUAAUAAAUAUCUUCUUUGACGUACCAGUGGUACAUAGUUUGGCCAUUGAUGGCACCGAAAUUCAAGUUUGAAAAUUAGCCCACGAUAUUUUUAACUUAUAUUAAAUUUUAGGGUCCUCUCCUCCCUAUAUAUUCUCUUAUAGCUGUCCACAUGUUACUAGGUCAUGGUACAGAUCUAUCUUAAUACGUGGUUGGUAAAUGGAUAUAUACCUCUUACGUGACUUCGAAGAUAUAUGAUUAUCUCCAACCCUAAGUGAUAUCAUCCCUCGAAUAAGAUAUAUAAUUGUCGUUUCAUUGCUCGGAACCAUUCAUCAUCGUAGGAUCCAUCUUCCAUGCUUACUUCGUCAAGGCCUGAUACGAUUCCAAUUCUGUCUAUAUAAACCACAACCGAGAACACUUCGCCAGGCUCUUCACCAAACCCAUCCAGAAGAGCCAUUCGAGGCCGUGGACACCCACAGCAAACCACCAUGGCCAUCGAUCCAUUCCUCGUAGCCUGCGCUUUGCUUUGCUUCCUCCUCCACCUCGCCCUCCGCCACUUCCUCGGCAAGCCCGCCUCCACCCUCCCACUCCCCCCGGGCCCCCGCGGCAUCCCCAUCCUUGGCGCCCUCCCCCUCGUCGGCUCCACCCCCCACUCCUCCCUCGCCCGCCUCGCCAGGCGCUACGGCCCCAUCAUGUACCUCAAGAUGGGCACCUGCGGCGUCGUCGUCGCCUCCUCCCCCUCCGCCGCCCGCACCUUCCUCAAAGCCUUCGAUGCGCAAUUCGCCAACCGCCCCUCCGCCAUCAGCGCAAAGGAGGUCACGUACGGAUACCAGAACAUGGUCUUCUCCAACUACGGCCCCAAGUGGAAGCUCCUCCGCAAGCUCGCCAGUUUCCAUCUCCUCGGCGCCAAAGCCCUGGCCGACUGGGCGCCCGUGCGCCGUGCCGAGGCCGCGCACAUGGUCCGCUGCAUUCUCGACGCGGCUCGGAUAGGCCGGCCGGUCACGCUGCCCGACGUGCUCGUUUGUGCUUUCGCCAAUAUAAUUAGCCAGAUAACGCUGAGCCUGCGCAUCUUCGACGCCCAAGGGGAGGAGUCGAACCAGUACAAGGACAUGAUCGUGGAGCUGUUGACCGGCGGAGAUCUGUUUAACAUCGGGGACUUCGUGCCGGCAAUCGCGUGGAUGGACUUGCAGGGAGUGCAGGCGAAACUGAGAAGGAUUCACAAGAGGUUUGAUGGGAUGGUAACGAAGCUUUUGGAGGCGCACGCGGCGUCGGCCAAGCAACGGCAGGGGAAACCGGAUUUCUUGGAUGUGAUUAAGGCGAACAGGGAAGGAGAGGAUGGGCAGACCAUCACCGAUGUAAACAUCAAGGCGCUCGUCUUUGUAUGUCCUCCUAUGCUCUAUCACUAUUAUUUACUUAAUAUCUGGGUCCAACUCUGCUACCUGUUAAUUUUGCCGUGGUAUUCGCUUGCUUUCCUUUUUAAAUCCGGAGAUCUCAAAGCAAUCGGGACCUUUUUUUAUUUACUUGGGACAAUCUAUCCUUAGUUCCAUCAUCUUUGCAUUCUCUUAUCUUUUUAAUUUCAUAGGCUGAGCUGCCGCUGUACCAGCAAGACUUAAUAGUGGAUUCGCACGAAGAAAGAUAAAUUAAUCCUUCUUUGGUGCGAAAGAGACAACCCUUAUCCAUCCCGCAUGAGCCUCAGUACACCAUAACAGUCCCAUAAUGCAUGGAUAGCCAUGAUUAUGGAUCCUCAUCCUUUAGUUGGGUCCACUAGGGUAUACAUGGAAUUUAAUAACAUGGGUGCAAUAGUUGUUGCAAGGAAUGCAUCUGUUACUGCACAUAAAAUGUUUCUUGGGAUAACAUAAUGCUAGCCGAGGAACUACUUCUUAAAAUAUAAAAAUUUUGGCUAGUUAGACCAAUUCUCUCAAAUCAUGCGGCAAAGGAAAUUUCCGGGUGCACAAAAUAGGAGUUUCACCAUCUUUGGUGGGUGAAAUUUAUUUACCCCCAUAUUGCACUUUAUAGGUGCGUCUUGCUUUAACAAAAAUGCAUCUAAAUUAGUUCAUUUCUUAGCUUAUUUCUAAGGGAAAAAAAAUCAAGAGGUGUGUCUGUUUAAAACUGAGAGUAAGUUAUUAGAUGUGAGUCACGAUAAUCAAUAUUUUCUUACGUGAAAUUAAUGUUUUCUCUCACAAACAUGACGAUAUGUUCAAUUUUUGUUCUUUUGAAUUGGAUAUAAAUUGUUAAUGUUAAUGCUAGAAUCUUUUUGGUAGUGUCACCAAAUGGUAGAUACGCACAUCUGUUGAUUUGACUGUCCAACUGCUUGCCCCUUGUUCCAUCAUAGUUGCUUUAAUGUCACGUAUCACGUUGUCCUUAUAUGAAAUAUUCAUGAUUGUUUGGCCUCACGUUUUUAUUUUUCUCGAUCAAUUAGCCUCACGUAUUCCCAAAGGUGUUAUCCGGGAAAAAGCGAAUGGCAAAUACCCAUGUUUUUUAAAUGGAGAUAUCUUCAAUAAUAAACUUCUGGAAUUCCAACAAAUAUAUGCACACAAAUACGUAAAUAUAUAAAUAAAUUUAAAUAUCAUAAUUCUUGAUGGAAUCACAACCAUCCAUCAAACAACUUCGAAUUUAUUUUAUUUUAUUUAAAUAUUACUUAUUUUCUUCCUUUGGGUACUUUUUGUAUUUUAUUUUCAUUUAGUUCAAAAUUAUUUCUCUUAUGUUAGGCUUAUGUUUAUUGUUCAAAUUUUUCUCACUCACAUGUAUUAUAGUGUCAAAUUGCUAGCUUUUUCAAAAUGAAUUGUUCCAAGAGGAAAGCUCAAGUACAUACUCUAUGAACAAUAUUAAUUAGGCUACAUUGCAAGUUAUAAUUUAAUUUGUAAACACAAAAAAAGUUUUGAAUACAUAGGAUAAAACUACUAUAUUAUUAAAUUAUAAAAUUGUUAUAUUUAUUACUUUAAAAAAAGUUCUUGCAGCCAUUUAACCACUGCAGAUUUUGUAAAAAAUAUAAAAUAUAUAAAUAAAUUUAUCUCAUCCUAUCAGCUUAAUUAAGCUUUUAAAACAAAUGGUGAUUUCAACAUGAUAUCAGAGCAGAACCAUCGAUGCAAGCACGGAAAAUCAUAUUUACGGACAUUAUAUAUGUUUAUACUGCAAUUAUUUAUGUAUGACAGCAACAUGACAUAGGGGUGACGUUUCAACUUUCUUAACUUGUAAGUGAACGAUGAGAAUGGGCGCCCAUCAUCCUUUAUCCGACCACGAUUCAUUGAACAUUUCUUUUGUCAUGCAUCAUUCCUCAAUAACUAAAACAAUGGACUGCUCGAUCCUUUUGUGGUCAUUUUGUAGUGGCCAGCAAUAUAUAUCAUGCAUGUAGGCAGAUCUUAAUUAUUUGUGGACAUCAUAGAUGCAUACACUGCAAAUUUUAUUGCAGAUAUUUAUAUAUGACAGCAGCAUGGUAUAUGGGUGACGUUUCAACUUUUUUGAAUUUGUAAGUGAACGAUGAGAAUGGCCCAUCAACCUUUAUUCAUUGAAUUGUAAGUGAACGAUGGCCGACCUCUAUUUUGUCAUACAUUUCUUUCGCCAUCCACCAUUUGCUCCAACUUCGUUAAAUAUUGAGCCAACGCUAUCCCAAUUGCACUAUGAAAUGGAUGGACGUGUACAGGCGCAGAUUCGUCCACACACGCAAAACUAAUUAACAAUGUUGCCGAUAAUUUUUUCUUGAUCCAUGAUAUCUAUGUUCCAACCACCACCCUUAUCUAAUACGACCGCGACGUGCAAAUUAGCCACGGUUUGACAUUUCCGCCCUCCUUUAUUUGAUCAAAAAUUUUCAGAGAACUUUUAUUUUUUCAAAUUAGAGGAGAAAAACAAAUUAAUUUAGAACAUGGCCACUUCCAAAAUCAAUAUGCUCUUGCUCUUGAGUCUAGAUCCAGAGUGCAUGAUGCAUGCAAACUAAUAUAUAUUCAUUCACUGACAGGAUCUAUUCACCGCCGGCACCGACACAUCCUCCGUCGUCAUCGAAUGGUCCAUGGCCGAAAUGCUCAAGAACCCAAGCAUUCUGAGGCGUGCACAAGCCGAGAUGGACCGAGUCAUCGGCCGAGACCGUAAACUGGAAGAAUCCGACAUACCCCAGCUCCCAUACCUUCAGGCGAUAUGCAAGGAAGCGCUCAGGAUGCACCCUUCCACCCCUCUCAGCCUCCCCCACUUCUCCUUCGACCCAUGCGAGGUCGAAGGCUAUUACAUUCCUGGAAACACGCGUCUUCUUGUUAACAUCUGGGCUAUUGGUAGAAACCCCGACGUGUGGGAGGAUCCCCUGGAAUUCAAACCGGAGAGGUUCUUAAGCGGCAAGACAGCGGAGAUAGACCCUCAAGGCAAUUACUUCGAGCUCAUACCAUUUGGGGCUGGGAGAAGGAUUUGUGCCGGCAAACUGGUGGGAAUGGUAUUCGUCCAGUAUAUGUUAGGUACGUUGCUGCACUCCUUUGACUGGAGUCUUCCUGAAGGAGAGGAGCUCAACAUGGACGAGAAGUUUGGCCUGGCUCUCCCUAAGGCCGUCCCUCUCAAAGCCUCUGCAAGUCCACGGUUGGCACCGGAGGCCUAUAUAUGAAAUACCGUGCUUUAAUUUACUUGCGUGGUUGUUUCCCAAGGAGUUAAAUAUUUUUGUUUUAUAUCAAUGUCGAUUGAGUAACUCAGACAAUAAAUGGAUAAGGAAGCACGUAUGUGUGUGGUUGCGUGAAAAAAGAGCCUUGGGUUUCAAUCUAACAAGAAAGACAGAGAGAGAGAGAGAGCGCCAUAACCAUUGGGUUUGAUCCUAUCAGAUCCCAUCUGAAUGUGGCUUACUUUUUUCAGAGAUUUAAACAAUCCAGGUUCCACGUUAAGAUAAGUUUGUAGUAAUUAGAGUAUGUGAUGAGUUCCGUACGUAUCUUAUUUUAUCCUAACUCAAAUGGGAGGUAACGCAUAUACUAAUCACCGAAAUUGUUUUUCAUAGUGUUGAUAUUCAUUGCUAAAUCCUUAUUUCAUUUAGGAUUUGUUUUUGCUGCUAGCCCACUUUAGUAAUAUAUUAGAGUUUGUUAUCUAGUUGAAAUGGGAUCGAUGCUAUCGUCCUUUAAUAGGAGAUGUUGCUAUUUCUAUGUUUAGGGAGAGUGUGUGUAGUUUUUUUAAGAAGGGGAGAGGGUUACGUGAGUUGGAGUUGAAAGAAUUUUAGAGAGGGGUCUUUGUAAAAAAGAGCCCUUCUUCUCUUCAGAGUGAUUUAUUCCUCUCUCCAAUUUUUUUUCACUAUUUUUGUUUGAUAUAAUUGGUAUUUAUUCUAACUCAUGAGCCGACACGUUUAAUCUACUCGGGAUAGCAAGUCAAUUCUUGAGAUAGGUGAUGGAUCUUAUAAAGGAAUAUGCUAUAGGUUUCUCCCAACUCAUCCAAAAGUGUCACUACAGAAAAAAGGGAAUUUUCCGACUAGAGGAAGCCGACCCUAGGUAGAAGUAUGGGCGAUUUUGGCCCCGGCGCUAAAAUUUGCCGAAAUUCGCCGAUGGCAGAGGAAGUAGACGACGCUUAUAAGCGUUGUCGGAGUCAACCAGAAGGGAUGAGUUGCUGCCCUUUCCAUUCCGUUCAAUUUGGGAUGAGUCUAGAAACUCAUGACCUAAGGGAAUUUAGUUAGUUGGCAGAGGACAUGACUUUUCAACAAAAAUAUCUGAAAUUAGAAGCUAACUUGGAGGCCAAGUUCUAUACAAGAAGUUUGGACAACGUGAAGAAAAGAUUUGCCCAAGAGUAUUCAUAAGGUACAAUUGGAUUGCUUAGUAUCAACAACCUGCUGGUAUUUAUGGAAAGAACGAAACAGGUGAAUAUUUCAGUUCGAAGCAAACUCUCCAAGCAAAAUCCUGAAGCAAUGCUUUUACUUACUAGAAAGCUAACUUCAAUUUACCGCGGAAGAUUCAAGCAGCAAAUAACGGAUGUUUUAAGCAAGUUCAAAGCUGCAGACUGAGAUUUUGUUUUGCACUUUCCAAAAGAGUGUUUGGUAAUAAGCAAGCUGUAACUCACACCUCUCUUGGUGCAGCUGUGGAGGGGCUCCUUCUCGAAGCAAAACUCACAGUUGCACUACCUAUUUUAAAUAGGCUCAGGAAGUGGGACCUUUUGAUCAAUAAAAUUUUAUGAGAAAGGUAAUCUCUAUUUUUCAUAAUUUCAGUUAAAUAUUUAAAUUUUAUUUAGAAAUAAAUCCAAUUAGGCUAAAUUGGAUAAAUAGCAAACAUUAUCUUUACUGAAAAUAACAGUUCCAAAGACGACCCUUUUCAGUGGUGUAUUUAUAUAUUAACCAAGCUAGCAACCUAAGAAGAGGGUGGAUUAAUUAUAUUUCUUUAAAAAAAAAAAAAUAACUGCAACUUAGAUUUUCUUAAGUACUAUAACUGCAGUGUUGUGAAGGAACAGAUCGAGUAAUAAAAUAAUAAAUAACAAACAAACUAGUGGUAAAUGCCUUUACUACUCCAUUAAUGUACGGUCGGCUAGUCGUUGGGAUGCUCGGUGUGCUGCAGAUGUGACAAGUCCAGCCGCUAUGGUUCUAGAGGUGGUUUCAUCCUCCUUUUCCAUAGUUGCUCAUUUCUCUGGGGAUGGCUCUUGAAUUUAUCUAUUUUUAUCCAUUCCACUGGAGAUGACUCCUGGCUUUUGGGAAGCGGCUCCUGACCAUUCGCAGGGUCAGCUCCUCUUGCAUGAGACGGUUCCCAGCUUUAUAUAGGUCGACUCCUGAACUCGGGAGAUGACUCAUUCCUUGUGUUGCUCAACUCUUGAGUUUGGGUGAUGGCUUCUGAGUACUUGGGAGAUGACUCAUUCCUUGUGUUGAACAUAGAGAAUAUGGCUACUAGUUAUCAAGAUGAAAAGAAGAGGGACUGGCAAUAGUGGUCGGUGGUGUUCGAUGGGAGGUGCAUGGAGGUUUGAGGGGCUCUUAAAUAGAGCAGAGCCAGGGUCUCCUUCAGCCCUAAAAGUCUUCCCAUCUUCGGACUCCCAUAGGGAGUCGAAGAAGAAGGUGACUCCCAUCUGGAGCUUGCCUCUUCAUGGCAUGUGCGUCUAUUUUCUUUAACAAAGGCCUUUGCGAUCUUUGGGCUGGUUCGGUCAAGUGGACCAGGCCCAAUUCAGUAUUACUACCUUUAAAAGGGCCGCGUAUUGCAAAUCACUUGGUGGAUAUCAAAUAAGUUAAGACCUCACAAUCUCUAGGGAUGGUACACUAAUCAGAAACCUAAGUGAUUGGACAACUCUAUAUUGUUAAGCAAACUUAAUUCCUGUUUUGUCUCCCAUUUGAGCAACUCAUAUCAAAAUAGUAUACAUAGGGUGCCUUAGCUCCCUCAAAUUCUUCAAGAUAUACUUUAGUGAUUUUAUCCAUUGAUAAUUUCAUCCACUUUUCUAUUUUGACAUCUCCCCAUCUAUUUACAUUAACCAUAAGAGUGUGGUGAAGUUGAUUGGAAGUACCAAGUCUAUCCAAGCCAUCGCUUAUUAUUAUGAUUAACUUGUAUUUAUAAUUUCUUUUAAUUAUUACGUGUAGGUUCAUAUGCAUUAGCACAUGUUAUGCAACUAGUUAGCAUAAAAGCUUAUAUAAGACGUAGUAUUCUUUUCAACAAAUCUCAAGACAACAUGCUAACAUUGUUUGGGUUGAAAACUUGGUAUUAGACCUCUUCAAAAAUCAGGCAGCCUGUUCGAGCCUGAUUCAUUUUGGACAGAUCUAGACCUAAUUUUCAAACCCAAAUAGCCGAUUUGGGCCUAAAAUUUAAACCUACCUAUUAAACGAGCCGAGCUUGGAUUUACAUGGACCUAGCUAGAACGCGGUCUGAGUCUGAUAUUUAUAUUAUAUAUUAUAUAUGAUACAUAUAAUAUAACAUAACAUAACAUAAAAAAUAUUAUAUAAUAUACAAUAUUAUCAAAAUAUUUUUCACCUUCUUUCUCAUCUCAUCUUCCCCCUCCUCUCCUCCUCCCACUACCCCUAUUGCCUCUCACCCCCUCCCCUCCCUAGGUGCUUUUUUGUUUUUUUUUGUUUAAAAAAGUGAUUUUCCUGGCAAAGUUGCGGCCUGAAUAAACAAUCCGAAGUCAUUGGAUCUGGGAAGUAAAACUGAAUGUCGGAUCGGGCCGGAUCGGGCCGGAUCGGGCCGGAUAUGAACCGAAAAAAUUAAAGGAUAGCCAGGCUCGAAUUCGGCCCAGCCCGUCCGCUGGGCAGGUCUACCUAACCUUAGCGGUUCUUUAGGCCAUCCACAUGUCCAAUGAGCUCGCACCCUUAUCUUUUUUCUCUCUCUUAUCUCUGGCUUCCUUGCUCCCUCGCUGCCAUCCGACAAGCCUCCCGGAGAGCAGCAGCAUGACCACCACCCCCACCCUCGGUCUACUAAAACUCCUCCCCAGCUCUAUCCCCUCCUCCAAACUCAUCCCAAAACCAUCAUCAGACCUCCCACUUUUGUCCCGGACCCACUCCCCCCUUCCUCACCUCGAACAUGCCGCCCUCCAUUUUCUCUCCAAAGCAUUCCCCCUCCCUGCCACGGCUGCGGCCCUGUCCCUUCCCCUCUUCCUCGACCCCAAGGCAAGUUCCAUUCCUCACCUCCCGUGCUCCUUCUCUCUCUCCCACCUCCUCCUCUCCUCGUCUUUCCUCGUUCUAAUUGAUAUCAUGGAUUUCAUGGAUCGAAGGAUGCUCUGGCGGUCGGCGGGGAGUUUGGGAUCUUGGAAGGCCGGACGUUAUCGCUGAUCCACCCGGUGGUGAUGGGAAGCCUCUUCUUCUACACGCUGUGGGCUGGUUAUUUGGGAUGGCAGUGGCGCCGCGUGCGGACCAUCCAGGACGAGAUCAACGAGCUCAAGAAGCAGGUGAAGGCCCCCGCCCAGCCCGCUGCCGCUGUUGCCGCCGGGGCCGACGGCACCCGGGAGGCUCCGCCGCCAACUGCAGCGAUCUCCCCGGUGGAAGCCAAGAUUCAGCAGCUCACCGAGGUCAGUGAGGGCUUCUGUUUUGAGUCUGUAAAGUUACAUUUUUUUCUGAAACGAGAUCCCCAAAGUUUUGUUUGGUAGUUUCUUUUUUCCUUUUGUGAUUCUAAAUCGUCCAUCUACUUUUUAAAAUAAUAAUAAGAAUUUUUUCAGGAAAGGAAGAUGUUGAUCAAGGGGUCGUACCGGGAUCGGCACUACAAUGCGGGGUCGAUACUGUUGGGGUUCGGAGUGUUCGAGUCGGUGGGUGGUGGCCUCAACACAUGGUUCCGCUCCGGGAAGCUCUUUCCGGGGCCCCACCUUUUCGCCGGCGCUGGUACGUACUUGCUUCAUAUGUUAAUUUCGGCAGCACAAUGCCAUCUCAAUAAUACCAUUCGAUAAGUCACUCAGCUCCUGUUUUAUCCUUAUUGCUCCCAUGUCAUGAAAUGAAGUGAAAUGAAUGGUGCAAGGCAGCUGAGUGAUUUUUGUGAGAUACCAAUAACAUAGCACUGCUCGGCAACGAAAAUACCCAUGGUAGAUAAGCCAUAUUAGGUCUUGUGGACUUAGAAGCUAAGCUUAUAUGGAUUAGACACUCAAAUGUGGCAUGCACAAUGCAUGUGGAUGAAGAAAUCUGGUUAUAGGCAUGGAGCUUCAUGAGUGCACUAUCAAAAUUUGAGAGAGCAAAAUUACAUAUUUCUUGGCCUUCUCUUGAUAAUAGAAUGGGACUGUAAGAUGUUUUCUGUUAAAAUUCUCUUAUAUUCUGUACUGGGAUAUAUAAGCCUCAAUAAUUAAUCAGUGGCUCCAAGAGUCUGUCCUUGCAUGCUUUUCUCGCUAUAUAAAAAGACUUGUCGAUUACUAACUCAUGAUCAGUAGGGGCAGGAGCCUCUAUAAUUGGUUUGGUUAUAAAAACUGUAUGUGAUGCACAUGGCACCCUAACAUGCCAAGCUGUUGGGAUUCGUGGCAGAAAGAAAUGGGAGUUAGAUAACAAAUGAGUUCAGUGAGAAUUCAGGACUUUUGUAAAGGUAGGUAGGAUUUGAGAGGUGCAGAUGCACCUGCCCGAGUUCCCACUAUAACAAUAUCCGUAAUAAUAGUAGAUACUAUUAUAUAUAAAAGUAAUUCUUUGUUGGUCAUCCAUCAUCCGAAUUAAAUGUUUAAUUAUUUGUCUCACAUGUAGUUAUGUUAGAAAGCAAACCUAAUCGAGAAAAGGAGGGGAAAAAUAAGAGAGAAAUUUUUAAGAAACUGGAAACUUGAAGAAAAACCAAUUUCUCAACUGUCUCUCUCUAAAAGGAAACAAGAUCAGAAAUAAUUUUUUUUGGGUAAGCGAUCAUAAAUAAUAUUCUUUAAUAAGUUUAGAAUCACACACGUGGGAUGCAUGUGAUUUAUUCUAGAGAUGGUAGCAUUAGGUGGAUAAUUGAAGUAAGAAGGCAAAAGAAACAUAAUUAAAAUUCCCUCUUCUCCACACCCUCCCUGUGCCCUGUUUCCCCAUAUCAUGCCUCUUUCUCUCUCUAUCUUUUCACUCUUUCUGGUUGGAUUUUUGAAGUAAAGAAGGAUGUCAUAAUAAUUUUAGAGGCUUUAUUUCUCAUUUUUCUAUUCUAACUGCAUUGGGAUUUUAAAUCCUUUUAUAAUUAGAAAAUUUUCUUCUACAAAGAAGAAUCCAAUUGCAAAUUGAAAGUUCAGUCAUAUAGAGCUCUUUGGUUAAACAUAGAAGAUGAAGGAAUGACAACCAUCUGUCCUUCCUCUCAUGCACAUGGCACAUACUAAAAUCUUGUUAAUGAAAGGCAAAUACAAUUCCAUCCUUAAUCCAUCUUUCCUUUUUCCAUUCUCAAUACCCUUUGCUUUUCAGCUUUUCUUUAUCGAACCUUAGUAUCAUUAUAUGAUCAUCUCACCCGAGAUACUAUCACUACAAUCUUCUUUUGUGUUUAUGCGCCAUUAAUUGUAAGUUAUUGUCCUACCUCACCACAAUAUCUCCUACAUCCAUGGUUGCCACCCUACCAUCUCUCUCUCUCUCUCCCUCUUUCACCCUGAUACUCCAUUAAUGCUUUGCUUCUCUCUCUAUGCUUAAGUGAUCCUGCUCUUCACCCUCUAUCAUCCUACCUAAACAAAAUUACUUCUCCACCAACUCGACAAACUAUUAGUGCUCCAUCUAUCAUCAUUGCUACCUCUCCCCAUCUCUCUCUCCCUUCAUAUUCUAUUGCGCUACUCUUAUUCCUUUAUCCUUUAGCAUGGUGUGCAAUGAUAGAUCUAGGGAUUUUAUAUAGGGGACACUAUUCUUAACAGAUGAUAGCUACAAUCUUAAUUAGAAGUUAGUUUUGUCACAAGUAAACCUAACAUAUAGAAGCCUAAGAAGUUCGUUUAAAAUGGAGUGAGCUACAUUUAUUCCUACUUCCAUGGUGCUUCAUCACUUGACCAUUUCUCUCUAUCUAUUUCUCUCUCCCCCCCAGACUCAAUUAAUGCUUUGCAUCUCUAUGCUCAAAUGAUCCUACUCUUGACCCUCUAUCAUCCUACUGAAACAACUCUUCUUACUCCACCAACUC
This 38107-nucleotide long non-coding RNA is filed under the name Phoenix dactylifera (date palm). RNAcentral's name for it is "long non-coding RNA (PDAC_LNC003131)". Lineage: Eukaryota; Viridiplantae; Streptophyta; Magnoliopsida; Arecales; Arecaceae. The record is from RNAcentral.